GAAAUGCGAUAAUUAAUGUGAAUUGCAGAAUUCAGUGAAUCAUCGAGUCUUUGAACGCACAUUGCGCCCCCUGGUAUUCCGGGGGGCAUGCCUGUCCGAGCGUCAUUGCUGCCCUCAAGCACGGCUUGUGUGUUGGGCUUCCGUCCCUGGCAACGGGGACGGGCCCAAAAGGCAGUGGCGGCACCAUGUCUGGUCCUCGAGCGUAUGGGGCUUUGUCACCCGCUCCCGUAGGUCCAGCUGGCAGCUAGCCUCGCAACCAAUCUUUUUAACCAGGUUGACCUCGGAUCAGGUAGAGAUACCCGCUGAACUUAGGC
RNAcentral lists this unclassified non-coding RNA (314 nucleotides) under plant metagenome. Its description in RNAcentral is "partial contains 5.8S ribosomal RNA, internal transcribed spacer 2, and large subunit ribosomal RNA". The stretch from base 1 to 105 matches the Rfam family "5.8S ribosomal RNA", at positions 50 to 154 of the family's 154-position model. The record is from RNAcentral.